Molecule: ribosomal RNA, 482 nt
Filed under: Callistoctopus minor (long arm octopus)
Lineage: Eukaryota; Metazoa; Mollusca; Cephalopoda; Octopoda; Octopodidae
Description: partial 16S ribosomal RNA
Rfam family: Bacterial large subunit ribosomal RNA
Source: RNAcentral
GUUGGGCCUGCUCGGUGAGAAGAAAAAUUUAACAGCUGCGGUAUUAUAACUGUACUAAGGUAGCAUAAUAAUUUGCCUUAUAAAUUAAGGCUAGAAUGAAUGGUUUGACGAAAAUUAGACUGUCUUUAUUUUAUUUGUUAGAAAUUAAUUUUUAUAGUGAAAAAGCUUGAAUAAUUUAAGGGGACGAGAAGACCCUAUUGAGCUUUAUUUAUUAAUAUUUAAAUAUAAAUAUAUAAUUUAUAUUAUGAAAAUUAUGUUGUAUAUAUAUAUAUAUAUUUAAUUGAUUUAAUUUUGAUUGGGGUGAUCAAGGAAUAAAGAUAAAGUAACUUCCUUAAAAUUAAUGAUUGUUUUUAUAGAGUAAUAAACCAAGUUUUUUGCUUAUAAGAUAAGUUACCAUAGGGGUAACAGCGUAAUUUUUUUUGAGAGUUCAUAUUGAAAAAAGAGAUUGCGACCUCGAUGUUGGAUUAAAAAUUACCUUAAGG